ACGGCCUCGAGAUGGACCUGCGGGACAGCUUCCACGCGGCGGACCACAUGGUCUUCGAAAAGCCCUGCUUCGCGCCCGAGAAGGCCAGCGCAAGCGAGGCGG
RNAcentral lists this non-coding RNA (102 nucleotides) under Prorocentrum minimum. Lineage: Eukaryota; Dinophyceae; Prorocentrales; Prorocentraceae. The record is from RNAcentral.